UUUCACCAAUUCCACAAAAGU
Molecule: non-coding RNA, 21 nt
Filed under: Caenorhabditis elegans
Lineage: Eukaryota; Metazoa; Nematoda; Chromadorea; Rhabditida; Rhabditidae
Source: RNAcentral